CCUACGGGGGGCAGCAGUCGGGAAUAUUGGACAAUGGGCGAAAGCCUGAUCCAGCAAUACCGCGUGUGUGAAGAAGGCCUGCGGGUUGUAAAGCACUUUCAGUUGGGAAGAUAAUGACGUUACCAACAGAAGAAGCACCGGCUAACUCCGUGCCAGCAGCCGCGGUAAUACGGAGGGUGCAAGCGUUAAUCGGAAUUACUGGGCGUAAAGCGUGCGUAGGCGGUUAAUUAAGUCAGAUGUGAAAUCCCCGGGCUCAACCUGGGAACUGCAUCUGAUACUGGUAGACUAGAGUGUGGGAGAGGAGAGUGGAAUUUCCGGUGUAGCGGUGAAAUGCAUAGAGAUCGGAAGGAACAUCAGUGGCGAAGGCGACUCUCUGGACCAACACUGACGCUGAGGCACGAAAGCGUGGGUAGCAAACAGGAUUAGAUACCCCAGUAGU
Molecule: ribosomal RNA, 439 nt
Filed under: uncultured Thiothrix sp.
Lineage: Bacteria; Pseudomonadati; Pseudomonadota; Gammaproteobacteria; Thiotrichales; Thiotrichaceae
Description: bacterial SSU rRNA
Rfam family: Bacterial small subunit ribosomal RNA
Source: RNAcentral